GUUGAGCGGGCGAGCCUGCCAGCUCG
Molecule: unclassified non-coding RNA, 26 nt
Filed under: Chlamydomonas reinhardtii
Lineage: Eukaryota; Viridiplantae; Chlorophyta; Chlorophyceae; Chlamydomonadales; Chlamydomonadaceae
Description: small RNA Cre_2095
Source: RNAcentral